Molecule: long non-coding RNA, 3843 nt
Filed under: Gossypium barbadense (sea-island cotton)
Lineage: Eukaryota; Viridiplantae; Streptophyta; Magnoliopsida; Malvales; Malvaceae
Description: long non-coding RNA (GBAR_LNC011016)
Source: RNAcentral
UCAUACAUGUAGCAUGUAAGAAAACAAAGAAACAAUGGAAGCCCCAACCAAUGAUCCAAGAACAGGCAAGGUCGCGGCAGCCACGCUGGAAUCUGGUCCUGAUGCUGUGACGGAAGAAGGAGAGGAGCUAGGACUAGAACCACCGGCGGAAGGGGAAGAAGCAGGUGCACCGGCAGAUAAGAGCUUGUUAUAAAUGGAUUUAUUGAAGUGAUUCAUCAAUAGUGACUGCGCUAGUAAUUCCACUAUUAUUAGUUAACAGUAAUGAAAAAUUUAAAUUCCUUCAUAUUUAUUUCAUAUUCAUAGAGAUAAAGGACAUAAUACACAUGGAUAUAGUAAGUCUUCCUUGAGCUGCUUUAAUGGUAAUCUUUACAUUUUCCUUUUUCACUCAUAGUAUGGGAAGAAGUGGACUCUAGGUGUACCCCUAAUUGGAGUUGAGGAAUCAAACCAUAUAAUUUCUUGGAUUCUAAUGGAGUAAUAUUUUAUGAAUAACACAUUUUCAACCAAAAUCAAAUAAACAUUUCAAUAAUCUCCUCAUAUUUUAAAAGUAAUAGGGAUCCAAAUGAUAGGUAAUUAAAAAAAAAUUCCUAAAUUUUCUAUUUUGAUGAAUUUUCUAUUUUGAUCGAUGAACUAGUCCUUACUAGAGUUAUAAAAUAUAUAUUUUAAUCUCGAUUUUCCUAAAAAAAAAAAUUCAACUUCCCGCUGCAUUUAUCUAAUUACGUACUAUUUAUUAGUUCAAUAAUUCAUCGUUAUUUUCAUGUUAUUAGUUGAAUAAAUCGAAAAGUAAACGCAUAAACACAAAAUACUUUUCAAUUCAAAGCUCCAUUUCAAUUUUUUUCAAUAUUCAUCACAUGUUUCUUACAAAAAAUAAAAAAUAAGAUAAAAUAAAAUAUUCGUUCACAUGUUGAUUUCUCAUACAUGUAGCAUGUAAGAAAACAAAGAAACAAUGGAAGCCCCAACCAAUGAUCCAAGAACAGGCAAGGUUGAGGCAGCCACGCUGGAAUCUGGUCCUGAUGCUGGGGCGGAAGCAGGAGAGGAGCUAGGACUAGAACCACCGGCGGAAGGGGAAGGAGCAGGUGCACCGGCAGCCAUGACGGCGCUCAUUGAGGCAGCAGCAACAAUGAUGGCGGUGGAGACCUUCUUCAUGUCCAUGGCGUAUAAAUGGAUUAUUAAACGCACCGGAAAUGAACGAGACCUGCGUUUAAUUGCUGGAGAAUGGGGAUCCGCCGGUGAUUGUUAUUAUUUGCUUUGUUAUUGCAGGUCUGAAGAACAAUGAUGUUGGGGAGGAUCUUUUAUAGGUGAAAAUUCAUAGCUAUUUUUAGUGAUGAAAUUUAAAAAUCAAAUUACGUGUUUGGUUUUCGCAUGGUUUGCGGGAUAGACAUGCAAAUUUUUUAAUAUUCUUAACUAUUUUAAGAUAAUGCGAUUUUAAAAUUUAAGUUUGAAUGAUAAUUAAUUUUUAUUUAAAUUUAAUUAAAUUAUUUGAAUAUAUUUUAUUUUUAAAAUAAAAAAUUUAAUUUGGACCGAUAUGAUUCUUUUACGAAAUUUUAAUGGUAAAGUAAAGCAAGACGAUUCUAAUCAUUUAUAUGUAAAUAUUAUAUCAUAAAAUGUAUUAAAAAAUAUUAUAUAUUAUGAUAAAUGGUUGGAUGGUAAAUUUUAUUGAGAUGAAUAUAGGACUAUAAAUGUAAAAUUAUUAGUUAACUUUCCAUAUUUGGGGAAGAUUGAAUUUCGGUUCUUUUAUUAAAAAAAUAAAUAAAUUAAUUUUUAUAUAUUUUGAAAUAUACAAAUUAGCUCAUUCGUUAAAUUUUAUCUAUUAAAUGAUGACGUGAAUGGUUAAAUAUAUGUUGAAAAUUAUCUUUUACGGGUAUAUAAAAAGAGUCACCUAAUUAUGUCUUUGUUCUAUUUUAGUUACCCAACCAAGAAUUCGUUUGGAUUUAAGUUUACCUUCAGUGUGGCACGAUUUUGGCACUUUAUUGCCCAAUCGUGUUGCAAUCAAUCACUAGGAUGCAUAAAUGGGAUUCAAUUUCAUUGCACUGAGCUUUACUUUUUUAGUUUUGGCGGAUUACAACUCCACUAACUUUUUCUUUCCUCUUGUAUCUAGACCUAAUCAUUGGCCAAGCCACCCGGCCCGAAGACUCACUCAAAAAGUAAAAGUAUUUGUGCAAAAAUAUAGGCUCGAAAAAUAGGUUUUUGCAAAAAAAAACAAGGCCUACUUUCUAAACAAGUUGCAUUGGGCAAGCUUUUUUUGCCCUAGCCUCGGCCCAAUCCAACUUUGUAAAAAAAAACCUACUGCUUUUUGCUGCUAUUGCACUAUUUUUGCAGUUGUUUUGUCACUGUUUUGGUAUCGUUUCGCUAUUAUAUUACUAUUAUUUUGUUCUUAUUAAUUGGAUAUUGUAUAACUCUUAUUUUAUUGUUAAUUUUGCUACUAUUUUAGAGAAUUUGCUUGCUAAGUUGUACCUAUCUUAGUAUUAUUAUAAAUUAUUUUUUAAUUUAUUUUCAAUUAGCUGAGAAACAUUAAUUUUAAUACAGACAGGGCGGGUCAGGCUCAAGUUUUAACAUUUUUAUUCAAGCCAAAUUUGGACAAAAUUUUAAACUUAUUUUUUAAGUUGGGCCAAAAAACGGAUCAAAAAUUCUAUUGAAGCCUGAACCAUGAUUAACUCUAUUUGUAUCCGUGCACCAUUUGUUUUAUAUCCAUACUCCUUAUGCCAUGUUCAUUCUUCUUUUUUUUUUUUGUUUAUUUCUCUUUUAAUAAAUUAAAUAAUUUUUUUAUUUUUUAAUAAAUUAAUGUAUAUUUAUCAUUUAAUAUAAUAAAUUAUUUUAAAUGAUUAUAAAUUAAUUAAUUAAAAUAUUUAUAAAAAUAUUAUGAUACAUGUUAUUAUUUUAUUAAAUAAAAUUACAACUUCACAUAUUUUAAUAAUUUCAUAAAAAUAAAAUAAUUUACAACUUCUAUUAUAUAUUAUUUCUAAUAAUGAUAAAGAAAAUUAUUUCCAACUUAAUAUCCUCACAUCACCGUUACAGCUAUGUUUGAAUUCAAGCACAUACCCAAUCACUAUUUUUAACCUCAUCGGAGCGAAUUCAGGAUGGGUUGGCAGGGCAUCGGCCUCCCCUAAAAUAAAAUUUUUUUCAUUUAGCUCUUUUUAUAAUUUUUAAAAUUUUAAAUUAACAAUAAUAAAAUUAUACUUUGUCCCUUCAAAAUGAUAAAAAAUUUAUUUAAUCUUUUAAUAUUUUCAUGUUUAAAAUUUAAAAAGUUAAUUCAACUACUUUAAAAAGAUUUUCCAACUUCAACCCACAUUUAUCUAAUUACAUAGUAGUUAUUAGUUCAAUAAUUCAUUGUUAUUUUCAAGUUAUUCAUUGUUUUGAAUAAAUCUAAAAGUAAAAGUAUAAACACAACAUACUUUCCAAAGCUCCAUUUCAAUUUUUUAAUAUUCAUCACAUGUUUCUUACAAAAUAAAAAAUAAAAUAAAAUAUUCGUUCACAUGUUAAUUUUUCAUACAUGUAGCUUACUGCAGCAUGCAAGAAAACAAAGAAACAAUGGAAGCCCCAACCAAUGAUCCAAGAACAGGCAAGGUUGCGGCAGCCACGCUGGAAUCUGGUCCUGAUGCUGGGGCGGAAGCAGGAGAGGAGCUAGGACUAGAACCACCGGCGGAAGGGGAAGGAGCAGGUGCACCGGCAGCCAUGACGGCGCUCAUUGAGGCAGCAGCAACAAUGAUGGCGGUGGAGACCUUCUUCAUGUCCAUGGCGUAUAAAGGGAUUAUUAAACGCACCGGAAAUGAAUGAGACCUGCGUUUAAUUGCUGGCGAAUGGGGAUCCGCCGGUGAUUGUUAUUAUUUGCUUUGUUAUUGAUGGUCU